This 1676-nucleotide ribosomal RNA is filed under the name Salmonella enterica subsp. enterica serovar Kottbus. RNAcentral describes it as "partial 23S ribosomal RNA". It matches the Rfam family "Bacterial large subunit ribosomal RNA", at positions 1271 to 2925 of the family's 2925-position model. The record is from RNAcentral. Lineage: Bacteria; Pseudomonadati; Pseudomonadota; Gammaproteobacteria; Enterobacterales; Enterobacteriaceae.
UGCUGGAGGUAUCAGAAGUGCGAAUGCUGACAUAAGUAACGAUAAAGCGGGUGAAAAGCCCGCUCGCCGGAAGACCAAGGGUUCCUGUCCAACGUUAAUCGGGGCAGGGUGAGUCGACCCCUAAGGCGAGGCCGAAAGGCGUAGUCGAUGGGAAACGGGUUAAUAUUCCCGUACUUGGUGUUACUGCGAAGGGGGGACGGAGAAGGCUAUGUUGGCCGGGCGACGGUUGUCCCGGUUUAAGCGUGUAGGUGUGUGUUCCAGGUAAAUCCGGUUCACUUUAACACUGAGGCGUGACGACGAGGCACUACGGUGCUGAAGCAACAAAUGCCCUGCUUCCAGGAAAAGCCUCUAAGCAUCAGGUAACAUCAAAUCGUACCCCAAACCGACACAGGUGGUCAGGUAGAGAAUACCAAGGCGCUUGAGAGAACUCGGGUGAAGGAACUAGGCAAAAUGGUGCCGUAACUUCGGGAGAAGGCACGCUGACACGUAGGUGAAGUGAUUUACUCAUGGAGCUGAAGUCAGUCGAAGAUACCAGCUGGCUGCAACUGUUUAUUAAAAACACAGCACUGUGCAAACACGAAAGUGGACGUAUACGGUGUGACGCCUGCCCGGUGCCGGAAGGUUAAUUGAUGGGGUCAGCGCAAGCGAAGCUCCUGAUCGAAGCCCCGGUAAACGGCGGCCGUAACUAUAACGGUCCUAAGGUAGCGAAAUUCCUUGUCGGGUAAGUUCCGACCUGCACGAAUGGCGUAAUGAUGGCCAGGCUGUCUCCACCCGAGACUCAGUGAAAUUGAACUCGCUGUGAAGAUGCAGUGUACCCGCGGCAAGACGGAAAGACCCCGUGAACCUUUACUAUAGCUUGACACUGAACAUUGAGCCUUGAUGUGUAGGAUAGGUGGGAGGCUUUGAAGCGUGGACGCCAGUCUGCGUGGAGCCGACCUUGAAAUACCACCCUUUAAUGUUUGAUGUUCUAACGUGGACCCGUUACCCGGGUUGCGGACAGUGUCUGGUGGGUAGUUUGACUGGGGCGGUCUCCUCCUAAAGAGUAACGGAGGAGCACGAAGGUUGGCUAAUCCUGGUCGGACAUCAGGAGGUUAGUGCAAUGGCAUAAGCCAGCUUGACUGCGAGCGUGACGGCGCGAGCAGGUGCGAAAGCAGGUCAUAGUGAUCCGGUGGUUCUGAAUGGAAGGGCCAUCGCUCAACGGAUAAAAGGUACUCCGGGGAUAACAGGCUGAUACCGCCCAAGAGUUCAUAUCGACGGCGGUGUUUGGCACCUCGAUGUCGGCUCAUCACAUCCUGGGGCUGAAGUAGGUCCCAAGGGUAUGGCUGUUCGCCAUUUAAAGUGGUACGCGAGCUGGGUUUAGAACGUCGUGAGACAGUUCGGUCCCUAUCUGCCGUGGGCGCUGGAGAACUGAGGGGGGCUGCUCCUAGUACGAGAGGACCGGAGUGGACGCAUCACUGGUGUUCGGGUUGUCAUGCCAAUGGCACUGCCCGGUAGCUAAAUGCGGAAGAGAUAAGUGCUGAAAGCAUCUAAGCACGAAACUUGCCCCGAGAUGAGUUCUCCCUGAGACUUUAAGUCUCCUGAAGGAACGUUGAAGACGACGACGUUGAUAGGCCGGGUGUGUAAGCGCAGCGAUGCGUUGAGCUAACCGGUACUAAUGAACCGUGAGGCUUAACCUU